AUCUGAGCAAAACAAGAAGCCCGUGAAAACAAAAGACAGCGUAGAUGGAGAACCUAUGUUCACAACCUCCUCCUCCACCUGGCUUUCAGACUUUCAGUUGAUGGCAGAAUAUUCUUUCCCAGCAGCUUUUCCCAGCAGGACACUCUGGUGCCAUUCAGCUCUUUCAUCUUUCACUGCUUCAUGAAUACUGUCUUCAGUUGGGUAAUGAGUGAAUGGAAAUCAAUGAACUUUCAAAUGUGUUCACUCCAAGUUAUCUGACUAGUAUUACCAGAGGCUUCUCUGAAUUUGUCCUACCACACUGCCACACCUUAUUCCAGAUGAAUACACCAUGUGUGAACGUCAGAACACCUCCUUCCCUUUGUGUUUAUGUUUUUCCUCAUGGUAGGAGCCUAGGGGAAAUUCUUCACAAGUUAAAACAAGUCAUGGAACAAAAUAUGCCAGCAGUGAGAUCGUCAGAGCUUCAUUUUUUGUAGUCUCUUCCCUCCCUCUAUGGUUGGGUAACACAGAAAAGAGAUAUAGUGAAGAGAAAACGAUCCAUAUAUGACUAAAACUCUCAUGUCGUUUGAUUGUUCGUAACCUUUGAUGAGAGAAAUGGGGCAUCACAGGGCAGCAAUUUUUGAAUCAACAUAGCUCAAAUGGGCUAAUUUACAGAAUAUGUCUGAAAACUAGGAAUCAUGGUUCCUGUGGGAUUGAAAUUUGGCAAAGUUAUGGCUGCUUCAGUGCUUCCACAAUGUUAUACCAUUGUGGUCAAUCAUGGUCACAUAAUUGUAAUUCUGAAUGCUCCCUUCCAGCUUCUACAAAGAGUGUCAUUGGGAAACUAGUAGUAAAUUGGAAGUUGCUCCUUUCCUACUACUUUUUGUCCACCCAUGGUCAUUUUGUUUCUCUGCUUAAGGAAGAAAAUAUCUCUGAAGUGAUGAUCCAACACAUCAUAGGUUGUCUAGUAUUCUGUAAAGUGGGGUUUCCAACCUAGUGCUCUCUGAAUGACCUGGACCACAUCCCCAAGCUGGGGUGAUGGGAGCUGUGGUCCAAAAGAGUCCAUGCUUUAGACCAAUGGAAAGACUAGUAAUGGGAAUUUGUGAAGGUUCUCUGUAAUUAGUAGGUAACUUAACAUUAACUUAUGAAUAGGUGUUCUAUGAAAGUAUUUAUAUUUAAGUUGCUUUAUUCAUUUUAAUAUUGUACCUAUAUUCUGUUGUC
Molecule: long non-coding RNA, 1194 nt
Organism: Ahaetulla prasina
Lineage: Eukaryota; Metazoa; Chordata; Lepidosauria; Squamata; Colubridae
Exons: 3
Source: RefSeq, a predicted model, not a curated record